GAUGAACGCUAGCUACAGGCUUAACACAUGCAAGUCGCGGGGCAGCAUGGGGGUUGCUUGCAAUCCCCGAUGGCGACCGGCGCACGGGUGAGUAACGCGUAUCCAACCUGCCCUUCACCACGGGAUAACCCGGCGAAAGUCGGACUAAUACCGUAUGUUGUCCAUUGACGGCAUCCGAUUUGGACGAAAGGUUUGGCGGUGAAGGAUGGGGAUGCGUCCGAUUAGCUGGACGGCGGGGUGACGGCCCACCGUGGCGACGAUCGGUAGGGGUUCUGAGAGGAAGGUCCCCCACACUGGAACUGAGACACGGUCCAGACUCCUACGGGAGGCAGCAGUGAGGAAUAUUGGUCAAUGGGCGUAAGCCUGAACCAGCCAAGUAGCGUGCAGGAUGACGGCCCUAUGGGUGGUAAACUGCUUUUAUGCGGGGAUAAAGUGGUCCACGUGUGGGUUUUUGCAGGUACCGCAUGAAUAAGGACCGGCUAAUUCCGUG
RNAcentral lists this ribosomal RNA (490 nucleotides) under uncultured bacterium. RNAcentral describes it as "partial 16S ribosomal RNA". It matches the Rfam family "Bacterial small subunit ribosomal RNA", at positions 28 to 507 of the family's 1533-position model. The record is from RNAcentral.